GCCACAUGAUGUGAUUUAGAUAGCAUUAGCACUCUGUGCAAAGAUGACCUCCUAAUCUAUCACCCAAGACUGAUGGCU
Small nucleolar RNA from Ictalurus punctatus (channel catfish), 78 nucleotides. Its record names the gene SNORD83. It matches the Rfam family "Small nucleolar RNA SNORD83". Rfam says of the family: U83 (SNORD83) and U84 (SNORD84) are members of the C/D class of snoRNA which contain the C (UGAUGA) and D (CUGA) box motifs. They act as guanine methylation guides but lack complementarity to ribosomal RNA. Lineage: Eukaryota; Metazoa; Chordata; Actinopteri; Siluriformes; Ictaluridae. The record is from Ensembl.